UGUGUCUGAGCUCUGACUCUCCUUGUGUGGGUCUUUCUGUGGCUGUUGUGGGGGAUAGGGGUGAGAUGCCCAGGUUAAUGGAGUUGUGUACAUAGGAGGAUUAUGCUGCCUCUGCUGAGUCAUGCAGGUUGUCAGGGAAGUGGGGGAAAGCCGGCAGUCAUAGGCCUCACCCAGCUCCCAUGCAAACCAAAGAGCAGUUCUCAUGGAGCCUGUUUCCAGGUGGUGGGCAAGAUGGGCUUGAAAACUUGCCUCAGGCUACCUGCCUCUCAACUAUGGAAAAAAAGGGCUUGGUUCUUCCCCUGCCUGUGGAGUCUGCACAACAGAUUUGUGCCCUCCCAUGAGUUCUGGCCAGGAGGCUUCUCGCCCUGUUCAAAUUGUUACAAAGUUCAACUAUAGAUUUCUUUCUUCCUGUGGAGUUUCAACACCUGCUCCUCUGGCCACCCUCACAAUGGAUCCCUGUGGUGCCAAGCAGGAAUGGCCUGUUUGGGCACCCAGUGAGCUCCCAGGGCCUUUCUACUGCUUCCUCAAACCCUGUAUUUUGCUCAGCUCUCUAAAUGGAUUCAACUCCAGAGAAGACUAUCAAGUAGUUAGGAAAGAAAGUCAGUGAGAUGUCUCAGGCGUGACUCAGCUACGGAAACAAUAGCAAUCAGAGGACAUUUGGAGAUGAAGAAAAAAAAGAAACAAACUUCAAUACAAUGAGAAAUAUACCAGUACAUGUAUGACACUCAAGUAACAUAAUGAUCUUAAGGCUAAUUUACUACCUCCUUGUUGCCUGACAGGUCAGAACAAUUUGUUUAGAACAUGAAAUCUGCUAGUAACUAUGAGAUGUUGGAUGUGUCAUUAGCCUCUCAAAAGUCUCCAUUUCCAGGCCCAAAAAAUUACGAUGGGUAAAUACUUGAUGAAGUUGUUGUGUGUUUUAAUUGCAACUGAGGAUUAAUUACCAGCAAGCAUCAGUCACUACAUAUUUUUUAUUGAUCAUAUUCUGUGAGCUAGGCACUGUGCUAUUUUCUGUGCUAGAAUCACUUACUAUGAGACAGCCUGAGUAGAAUUUCCUCUACUGGACUUAUCUUCAACAAAGACAAUAAAAAUUGUCAUUAUUUUCAACAAAAAUCUGGAACUUAACCUGGAAACCUCACUUUUCUGUGCCAGGAGGUUUCAUGGGCUUUUCCCAUAGGCCAUUCGGGUUUAUCUAUGUGGACCUCAGUUUUCAUAUUCUUCACAACUUAUACUCAAGUUAGGGCCCUGGUACCUACACUUUAUGUAGCUAUAGAAGAGAGCAAUGAUAUUGGUCUUAUCUUACUAUGGAAGAAUUGCUAUAACCUCAUAUUCAUCUGCAAAUGUGGACAUUUGGAACAGUAAAGAAGCGAUGAACUAAAUUCUAAGCCAGGCAAAGGGAGUGUUACUACCCUGACCAAAAGAAUUUUUUUAACAUGGAGUCCCCAAGACAACGAUGGUGACUGACUCAAGACCUGGAACCAAACCCAGAACUUCACUUCCCUGUGCCAGAAGGAUUCCAGUGAGCUUUUCCCACAGGCCCUACAGUCUUCUCCAGAAUUUUGUGUAUUCACAACAACAUUUGCUGCAUUGGUACAGUGUGACAGAUACAGCACUGAGUACUGACAAACUGGGGAUAUAAUUAUUAAUGAAUAAAGGCAAAAGCAUGACACUUAAGGACA
Molecule: long non-coding RNA, 1676 nt
Filed under: Homo sapiens (human)
Lineage: Eukaryota; Metazoa; Chordata; Mammalia; Primates; Hominidae
Description: HSALNT0305622
Source: RNAcentral